GCCCCCAUAGCUCAACGGAUAGAGCAGUUCCGUCCUAAGGAAACGAUCUGGGUUCAAUUCCUGGUGGGGGCA
RNAcentral lists this transfer RNA (72 nucleotides) under Candidatus Campbelliibacteriota bacterium. Its description in RNAcentral is "Candidatus Campbellbacteria bacterium tRNA-Arg". It matches the Rfam family "tRNA". Rfam says of the family: Transfer RNA (tRNA) molecules are approximately 80 nucleotides in length. Their secondary structure includes four short double-helical elements and three loops (D, anti-codon, and T loops). The record is from RNAcentral. Lineage: Bacteria; Candidatus Campbelliibacteriota.